AGAGUUUGAUCAUGGCUCAGGACGAACGCUGGCGGCGCGCCUAACACAUGCAAGUCGAACGAGCGAGAGAGAGCUUGCUUUCUCGAGCGAGUGGCGAACGGGUGAGUAACGCGUGAGGAACCUGCCUCAAAGAGGGGGACAACAGUUGGAAACGACUGCUAAUACCGCAUAAGCCCACGGCUCGGCAUCGAGCAGAGGGAAAAGGAGCAAUCCGCUUUGAGAUGGCCUCGCGUCCGAUUAGCUAGUUGGUGAGGGUAACGGCCCACCAAGGCAACGAUCGGUAGCCGGACUGAGAGGUUGAACGGCCACAGUUGGGACUGAGACACGGCCCAGACUCCGUACGGGAGGCA
This 350-nucleotide ribosomal RNA is filed under the name uncultured bacterium. Its description in RNAcentral is "bacterial SSU rRNA". It matches the Rfam family "Bacterial small subunit ribosomal RNA", at positions 8 to 350 of the family's 1533-position model. The record is from RNAcentral.